AGAGUUUGAUCCUGGCUCAGGAUGAACGCUGGCGGCAUGCCUAAUACAUGCAAGUCGAACGAACUAGUUUACUAGUUAGUGGCGAACGGGUGAGUAACGCGUGGGAAACCUGCCUUUAAGACGAGGAUAACUAUUGGAAACGAUAGCUAAUACUGGAUAGGAUAUAUUAUCACAUGAUUUUAUAUUUAAAGGUUUAAAACACUUAAAGAGGGUCCCGCGUCGCAUUAGCUAGUUGGUGAGGUAACGGCUCACCAAGGCGACGAUGCGUAGCCGGGCUGAGAGGCUGAACGGCCACAUUGGGACUGAGACACGGCCCAAACUCCUACGGGAGGCAGCAGUAGGGAAUUUUCGGCAAUGGGGGAAACCCUGACCGAGCAAUGCCGCGUGAAUGAUGAAGGUUUUC
This 403-nucleotide ribosomal RNA is filed under the name uncultured Bacillota bacterium. RNAcentral describes it as "bacterial SSU rRNA". It matches the Rfam family "Bacterial small subunit ribosomal RNA", at positions 8 to 419 of the family's 1533-position model. Lineage: Bacteria; Bacillati; Bacillota. The record is from RNAcentral.